AUUGAACGCUGGCGGCAGGCCUAACACAUGCAAGUCGAGCGGAUGAAGGGAGCUUGCUCCUGGAUUCAGCGGCGGACGGGUGAGUAAUGCCUAGGAAUCUGCCUGGUAGUGGGGGAUAACGUCCGGAAACGGGCGCUAAUACCGCAUACGUCCUGAGGGAGAAAGUGGGGGAUCUUCGGACCUCACGCUAUCAGAUGAUCCUAGGUCGGAUUAGCUAGUUGGUGGGGUAAAGGCCUACCAAGGCGACGAUCCGUAACUGGUCUGAGAGGAUGAUCAGUCACACGGGAAAUGAGACACGGUCCAGAAUACUACGGGAGGCAGCAGUGGGGAAGAUUGGACAAUGGGCGAAAGCCUGAUACAGACAUGCCGCGUGUGUGAAGAAGGUCUUCGGAUUGUAAAGCACUUUAAGUUGGGAGGAAGGGAAGUAAGUUAAUACCUUGCUGUUUUGACGUUACCAACAGAAUAAGCACCGGCUAACUUCGUG
Molecule: ribosomal RNA, 484 nt
Filed under: uncultured bacterium
Lineage: Bacteria
Description: partial 16S ribosomal RNA
Rfam family: Bacterial small subunit ribosomal RNA
Source: RNAcentral